GCCAUGCCGCGUGUGUGAAGAAGGUCUUCGGAUUGUAAAGCACUUUAAGUUGGGAGGAAGGGCAGUAAGUUAACACCUUGCUGUUUUGACGUUACCGACAGAAUAAGAACCGGCUAACUCUGUGCCAGCAGCCGCGGUAAUACAGAGGGUGCAAGCCUUAAUCGGAAUUACUGGGCGUAAAGCGCGCGUAGGUGGUUUGUUAAGUAGGAUGUGAAAGCCCCGGGGUCAACCUGGGAACUGCAUCCAAAACUGGCAAGCUAGAGUACGGUAGACCGUGGUGGAAUUUCCUGUGUAGCGGUGAAAUGCGUAGAUAUGGGUAGGUACACCAGUGGCGAAGGCGACCACCUGGACUGAUACUGACAAGGAGGUGCGAAAGCGUGGGGAGCAAACCAGAUUAGAUACCCUGGUAGUUUAAGAUGAUAACGAUGUCAACUAGCAAGCUCUUUCCUUGAGAGCGAAGUGGCGCAGCUAACGCA
This 476-nucleotide ribosomal RNA is filed under the name Pseudomonas putida. Its description in RNAcentral is "SSU rRNA". It matches the Rfam family "Bacterial small subunit ribosomal RNA", at positions 391 to 859 of the family's 1533-position model. The record is from RNAcentral. Lineage: Bacteria; Pseudomonadati; Pseudomonadota; Gammaproteobacteria; Pseudomonadales; Pseudomonadaceae.